CCGCCCACUUCAGCCUCCCAAAGUGAUGGGAUUACAGCUGUGAGCCACCGUGCCUGGCCCCUUACUGUUUCUUUAUACAUCAUUGUGAUUCCAACAGUUUCUGAGUCUCAAAGAUAUGCUCCCAUGUAGCCUCAUACAACAGCAUAGGGCACUUGCAUGUUCCAAAAAACUUAAAUGCAAUAAAAGCAAAUGGUGCCUACCCUCCCCAUGGGGUCUCUGUAUUUCCCAGGCUCUGAAAUACACUGACUGAGAGAAAUGUGCGAACUUCAUACCUGGUCUGAGAUUUACCCUGAGAUGACUCUUGCCUAGAAAAGAAAAAGAGUUUUCUCUUCAGCAUCUCUGGGAUUAGAACUAUUAGCAAACUUAUAAUUUUCUUUCCUCACUUACUGAGCUCUAGUAUUAUCUUGAUUGCAAAGAAAGCAUCCAGACAACUUCCCAUUUCCUCCUUGCUUCACCCCGUGAACACAACUGCUUCUCUUCAGCAGCCCCAAAUGGAAAUUAUUCAGUGUCUUAUGUGAAAUUGAAAAUAUUUUUAAAAAGACAAUUGCAAUGUUAGUGUAUUGUGGAUGAUACUCUACAAGAAAAGCCUGAGCAAUGUUGGAGUGUCACAGCCACAGAGGGGCACAUCAACCUGAUACAAGAGAAAUGGAGCGAGGAGAGGUGACUGUCUCAGGGGAGUGAUAGUCUUUCUGGGGAGGAAUUCUCAAACCCAAGUCCUUGUUUUGUUUUGCUUUUCCUUGGCAAUGAGAUUAUCUUGGAGGUAAAAUUGUGUAAAUGUGGACAACUGAGUAAAGGCAAACUACACAGAGAGUAGUGGAAAUAAGGAAUGGGAGAGGUGGAAAAGUAAAAGUAAACACAUGCUAAUGAUUCAGUGUUAAUUUUGUCAGGUUAAAUCACAGAAUUUGGAAAGAAAAAGGGCAUCCAACAGCCUUAAAGAUGAAGAAAUGGAAGCUCCAGAGUUGAAGAAAUGUGUCUUCACUCCCACAAGUAAUCUUGAAGUUCCGAGCCACCAUGAGAGUUUUCCUGACACUGAGGUAAUUUCCUACCAUGUUGACACCACCUUGCGCCAGUGUUCAAGACCAUCACAGCUAUGAACCUUGUUGGCUUGUAUCAGAUGCCUGCUGGGACCUUGGCUGCCCAUAGUGCUCUCUAAAGACUCCAGCUUUCCAUAACUCCUACAGUUUUAAGUUCAAGGAAUGAUGAAGAGGACGCCAAUGUACGGAUUUGAUUUACCAAAUCAGGCCUGUACAGCAGCUGAAUCAACCUAUGGGAAAAUUUUGGCUCUCUUUAACAUUCUAAUUUUUGAGAACACCAUUGCAAAUACAUGAUUUCCAAAAUAAUAACAAUGCACUUAAUUAAUCACAUUAUAGAUCAUCAUAUAAAAAUAAAUACCUAAAUAGAAAUACAAUUUAUUUUUUUCUUAAAUUCCAAAUUGCAUAGAGCUGCCUCCUCUGCAGUUUUCCAUCACUGCCUCCUUCUCAGACUUCUCCUUUUGUUUUUUCAUUUCUUUGUACAGACUCCAGUCAUUUGUUUAAAUAUUCAUACUCAACCAGAAUACGUUUCCUAAUGUGGGAAUCAUUGCUUAUUCACAGGCACAGCCCUUGACAUCCUGAAAACAUGUAGUAAUGAUUUUUGGAAUAAAGGUUUGACACUUCUACAUUUACAUGUAAAUGGAGUUAAAAAAUUCUAGGUUGAGAAUAAGAAUACUAUAAAAAUUUUGAUCUAAAAUGGAUGUUAGAGAUAACCCAGCGCAACCAGUUGCUCUUACAAUUGAGGAAACUGAGGUCAAGAAUGAGUGAGUGGCUCAGAGUCACCCAGCUCAUUAGAGCCUGAAUGAACCACCUUGGUUCACUACCUCUGUUCACCGCCCUUUCUAGUGCACUUCAUGAAAUCACUCUCUAAGUACACAUCAACUCAUUUAGAUACUUAAAUGAUUCUUGAGAAAGUAGAAAGUAUAAAUGCCUUGACCACACAUAAGAACUUUGACAUAUUUCACUCUCUGUACUGAAAUUUCUAACAAUGCCUGGUACAUAAUAGGUAUUCAGUUGAUUUGGGUUUCUACAUCCCUUUUCUCCUUCUCUUCUUCAAGUUUGCAUGUAAACCACAUUAAAGACUGCUAAUAUAUAAAGUAGGCACCAUCUCAUGAAUCAAAGAGGGGAUUCCUAGAGCCACUGAGGAUGUCUUUAGAAGCCAGUGGUGCUGAUCCCACAGCUACUCUCCUGUGGACAGUGGAAGUGCUCCCCAAAGUACAUUCUUAGGGGAAAUGGGGCUGCCGCCAUGAGGAGGUGUCAAUAGAGAUUAGAGAUGGUCUUUGUGCUGUGAGAGAGACCUCACAUUUCCAAAUGCCAAGUCCUUUCUUCCUCAGUCAAAUGUACCCCCUAGAACAUAGAUACCUACUAAGCUGUAGAUUUUUGAGGGGAUACAGAGCUGAAUCCAUAAGAUAGUGGAUUAUUCAGAUAAGAAUUUCUGUAGAUAGAGAGUUUCCAAUCAAUUAUGUACCCCAACAAUGUGAGGUCAACUACUUAGACUACCUCUUAGCUUCUACAUUUAGAUGUUUCAAAGUCUGUUCUGAUCCUUAAAUUUGACACUUCUCUUUAAUAUAAACAAAGCCCUUUUAGUAUUCUUUGGGAUUAGCUUACCACUUAAUAAAUUCCUUCCAACACUAUCUUCUGUGAGUCAACAAACAGCUUCCUCCUGUGAUUUGGGCCUGGCUAACAACAAGUUAGACUUCAGACGAAUAAUUACUAGGCUGAGGCAUUUUCCAGGUGGUACAUUCCCACUUUGAGGAAACUUGGUCAUUUUACUUUUGCAUUUAAGAUGUCCUUAGGCUGAAAAUAAAGUGUCAGUGUUUGAAAUGUCCUUCUCUGUAUCAUUGACUUGAUUUUUAGAUAAUAUUUCAGGCUGGACUGACACCAAAAGUGCUUUUCAAAAACACAUGAAAAGACCAAAAUUAUUUAAAUAAUUUACAAUAUAUGAAAGGUAGUAAAUUCUAGGCAAACAUUUUAACUAGGUUUUUAUGGAGAACUGACAGUGAGUAGCUUUGUGCUGAACCCUGUGUAAGGCAUUAAAUGAUGCACUCGUGUAAUUAUUUUCCCUAAAUUAAUGCCUGUCCCUGACACAUCUUAGACUUUUCCACCCUUGCCCUAAAUAACUUAAUUAAAAAAAAAAAUUCUCCCAGCUAA
Molecule: long non-coding RNA, 3182 nt
Filed under: Homo sapiens (human)
Lineage: Eukaryota; Metazoa; Chordata; Mammalia; Primates; Hominidae
Description: HSALNT0337182
Source: RNAcentral